CAGCCGCCGCGGUAAUACCAACCCCGCGAGUGGUCGGGACGUUUAUUGGGCCUAAAGCGUCCGUAGCCGGCCCGGUAAGUCCCUCCUUAAAGCCCACGGCUCAACCGUGGGAGCGGAGGGAUACUGCCGGGCUAGGGGGCGGGAGAGGCCGGGGGUACUCCUGGGGUCGGGGCGAAAUCCUAUAAACCCAGGAGGACCACCAGUGGCGAAGGCGCCCGGCUAGCACGCGCCCGACGGUGAGGGACGAAAGCUGGGGGAGCAAAGGGGAUUAGAUACCCCCGUAGUCCCAGCUGUAAACGAUGCAGGCUAGGUGUUAGGCGGGCUUCGUGCCCGCCUAGUGCCGUAGGGAAGCCGUUAAGCCUGCCGCCUGGGGAGUACGGCCGCAAGGCUGAAACUUAAAGGAAUUGGCGGG
This 412-nucleotide ribosomal RNA is filed under the name uncultured microorganism. RNAcentral's name for it is "bacterial SSU rRNA". It matches the Rfam family "Archaeal small subunit ribosomal RNA", at positions 459 to 872 of the family's 1478-position model. The record is from RNAcentral.